CCUGACUGCUAUCGGAUUGAUACUAAGCCAUGCGAGUCAUUGUAGCAAUACAAGGCAUACGGCUCAGUAACGCGUAGUCAACCUAACCUAUGGACGGGAAUAACCUCGGGAAACUGAGAAUAAUGCCCGAUAGAACACUAUACCUGGAAUGGUUUGUGUUCCAAAUGAUUUAUCGCCAUAGGAUGGGACUGCGGCCUAUCAGUUUGUUGGUGAGGUAAUGGCCCACCAAGACUAUUACAGGUACGGGCUCUGAGAGGAGUAGCCCGGAGAUGGGUACUGAGACACGGACCCAGGCCCUAUGGGGCGCAGCAGGCGAGAAAACUUUGCAAUGUGCGAAAGCACGACAAGGUUAAUCCGAGUGAUUUGUGCUAAACGAAUCUUUUGUUAGUCCUAGAAACACUAACGAAUAAGGGGUGGGCAAGUUCUGGUGUCAGCCGCCGCGGUAAAACCAGCACCUCAAGUGGUCAGGAUGAUUAUUGGGCCUAAAGCAUCCGUAGCCGGCUCUGUAAGUUUUCGGUUAAAUCUGUACGCUUAACGUACAGGCUGCCGGGAAUACUGCAGAGCUAGGGAGUGGGAGAGGUAGACGGUGCUCGGUAGGAAGUGGUAAAAUGCUUUGAUCUAUCGAUGACCACCUGUGGCGAAGGCGGUCUACCAGAACACGUCCGACGGUGAGGGAUGAAAGCUGGGGGAGCAAACCGGAUUAGAUACCCGGGUAGUCCCAGCUGUAAACUAUGCAAACUCAGUGAUGCAUUGGCUUGUGGCCAAUGCAGUGCUGCAGGGAAGCCGUUAAGUUUGCCGCCUGGAAGUACGUACGCAAGUAUGAAACUUAAAGGAAUUGGCGGGGGAGCACCACAAGGGGUGAAGCCUGCGGUUC
Molecule: ribosomal RNA, 874 nt
Filed under: uncultured marine group I thaumarchaeote
Lineage: Archaea; Thermoproteati; Nitrososphaerota
Description: bacterial SSU rRNA
Rfam family: Archaeal small subunit ribosomal RNA
Source: RNAcentral